Molecule: ribosomal RNA, 482 nt
Filed under: uncultured bacterium
Lineage: Bacteria
Description: bacterial SSU rRNA
Rfam family: Bacterial small subunit ribosomal RNA
Source: RNAcentral
UAGCGGAACUCCUACGGGAGGCAGCAGUGGGGAAUUUUGGACAAUGGGGGCAACCCUGAUCCAGCAAUGCCGCGUGAGUGAAGAAGGCCUUCGGAUUGUAAAGCACAUUAAGUUGGGAGGAAGGGCAUUAACCUAAUACGUUAGUGUCUUGACGUACCGACAGAAUAAGCACCGGCUAACUCUGUGCCAGCAGCCGCGGUAAUACAGAGGGUGCAAGCGUUAAUCGGGAUUACUGGGCGUAAAGCGUGCGCAGGCGGUUGUGUAAGUCAGAUGUGAAAUCCCCGGGCUCAACCUGGGAAUUGCAUUUGAGACUGCACGGCUAGAGUGUGUCAGAGUGGGGUAGAAUUCCACGUGUAGCAGUGAAAUGCGUAGAUAUGUGGAGGAAUACCGAUGGCGAAGGCAGCCCCCUGGGAUAACACUGACGCUCAUGCACGAAAGCGUGGGGAGCAAACAGGAUUAGAAACCCUAGUAGUCCACUUAUG